UGUAUACAAUGGUUAUGUGCUCAUAGUACAAUGUGAUGUCAGCACCAGUAGGUGACCGACUAGACAAAUAACCGCACAGCCAUAGAAUGAGCUGCAAUGAAACCAUAAAAUUACCAACACAUCUGAAAUUACAUGAGGAAUCAGGAAGAGGAAAACGAGCUCCUAUGAAUAAUGAAGAAUAUGCACAGUCAGUAAGAUUAUCUUUUUUAGUGGAAAGAGUCACUAAGUAGACACACUUUGAAGGAAUAUGUGAAGAAGAGUUGGAGAUACUAUCGGAGCAACUAAACAAUGUGAAUCUGUUGAGAAACGCUGUGUUUACGUAGACUAACUGGUGUCAGGUCCUGAGAGAGGUGUACCUGGA
Long non-coding RNA from Peromyscus eremicus (cactus mouse), 361 nucleotides. RefSeq lists it as uncharacterized. The transcript has 3 exons. Lineage: Eukaryota; Metazoa; Chordata; Mammalia; Rodentia; Cricetidae. The record is from RefSeq and is a predicted model, not a curated record.